RNAcentral lists this ribosomal RNA (403 nucleotides) under uncultured bacterium. RNAcentral describes it as "partial 16S ribosomal RNA". It matches the Rfam family "Bacterial small subunit ribosomal RNA", at positions 28 to 526 of the family's 1533-position model. The record is from RNAcentral.
GACGAACGCUGGCGGCGUGCCUAAUACAUGCAAGUCGAACGCAGUGGGGACGGGUGAGUAACACGUGGGUAACCUCCCAUCAGAGGGGAUAACACUUGGAAAUAGGUGCUAAACCGAUACUGAUGGAUGGACCCGCGGUGCAUUAGCUAGUUGGGGAGGUAACGGCUCACCAAGGCCACGAUGCGUAGCCGACCGGUGAGGGUGAUCGGCCACACUGGGACGGAGACACGGCCCAGACGACUACGGGAGGCAUCAGUAGGGAAUCUUCGGCAGUGGGCGAAAGUCUGGCCGAACAACGCCGCGUGAGUGAAGAAGGUUUUCGGAUCGGAAAACUGUGUUGUUAGGGAAGCGGUAUCUAACCAGAAAGCAACGGCUAACUACGUGCCAGCAGCCGCGGUAAUAC